UCUCCAAUCAAAAUCAACGUGUGUUCUCUCUACAGUACACAAAUUCACUCACUCUAAAAUACACACAUUCUUGAAACCCCAUUAAUCUCAAAAUUCCAAAGAAAUAGAAGUCUAUAUUUUCCUUUUUAUUCAUUCUUCAACCACCGGCAUCUCGCAUAAGCUCCAUAUCCAUCACCACCACCGGCAUUAUCAUCACAAAGUUUCCUUGUAAAACUGAAGUAUUACACUUUUUUUUUUCCACCCUCAGAAGUUUUAAAAAUGGUUUUAACUCGUCGUGUCAAUGAUAAGAGAAGGGAAAAAGAGAAAGAAAAAAAAGGAAGAAAGAUGUUGAGGAAUCUUCUUCACCCAAGAGAGUGAAAUGUCGGCAUCGGGAGGACAAUCAAUGAAAAAUGUGAAAUCCGAUCUUUGUCCCUCAAUUUUUUUACGUUGAUCAUGGCAUUAAUCAGGUUUUGUGAAAUGAUUUGUGUAAUGUGUGACCCAGUUCGAGAGAUUUGUAACCUGUUUUGGGUAUUGUGUGACUGGAAUACCAUUUUGUGACCUGUGUUGGAUAUUUCGUGUCUUGAAUAGUUUUCGUGACCUAUUUUGUUUACCGUGUGACCAAAUACCAUUUAUGUGAUUUGAAUACGAUUUUGUGACAUGUGCUGGAUAUUUUGAGACCUAAAGUAGUAUUUUGUGAAUUGAUUUCGAUAAUUUGUGACCUAUUUCAUGAGUUUGUCACAUGAUUCAGAUUAUUUGUGAACGUAUUCCAUAAUCCUCGUGAAAAUGACAUUAUGUUUGCU
Molecule: long non-coding RNA, 779 nt
Filed under: Olea europaea (common olive)
Lineage: Eukaryota; Viridiplantae; Streptophyta; Magnoliopsida; Lamiales; Oleaceae
Description: long non-coding RNA (OEUR_LNC008286)
Source: RNAcentral